Molecule: non-coding RNA, 465 nt
Organism: Galeopterus variegatus (Sunda flying lemur)
Lineage: Eukaryota; Metazoa; Chordata; Mammalia; Dermoptera; Cynocephalidae
Source: the annotation of a RefSeq genome assembly
AUGGCGUCUCUAUCCUCACUGAGGAAUUUUAGCCUCUGGAUCCUCAUCCACACCAUGGAUACUGAUGUUCAGGAUUUGUCUUUGAAAAGAUUCACCGCAAGUGUCCUGUCCGAGGUACAGCUGCAGGAGUCGGGCCUAGGACUGGUGAAGCCCUCGCAGUCCCUCUCCCUCACCUGCACCGUCUCUGGUUACUCCGUCACCAAUAAUUAUGGUUGGAUCUGGAUCCGCCAGCCUGAGGGGAAGAGCCUUGAGUGGAUGGGAUACAUUAGUUAUAGUGGAAGCACAGGUUAUAACCUGUCGCUCAAGAGCCGCACCUCCAUCUCCAGAGACACGUCCAAGAAUCAGUUUUUCCUGCAGCUGAGCUCUGUGACCGACGAGGACACAGGCGUGUAUCACUGUGUGAGAGACACAGUGACAGGAAGUCAGCAGGAGCCCAGACACAAACCUCCCUGCAGGAUACAAUAG